CUAAAAUCGAGCAUAGACAUC
RNAcentral lists this microRNA (21 nucleotides) under Gossypium raimondii (Peruvian cotton). Its description in RNAcentral is "gra-miR8729". The record is from miRBase by way of RNAcentral. Lineage: Eukaryota; Viridiplantae; Streptophyta; Magnoliopsida; Malvales; Malvaceae.